This 301-nucleotide ribosomal RNA is filed under the name uncultured bacterium. Its description in RNAcentral is "partial 16S ribosomal RNA". It matches the Rfam family "Bacterial small subunit ribosomal RNA", at positions 509 to 808 of the family's 1533-position model. The record is from RNAcentral.
CAGUAGCCGCGGUAAUACGUAGGUGGCAAGCGUUGUCCGGAAUUAUUGGGCGUAAAGGGCUCGCAGGCGGUUUCUUAAGUCUGAUGUGAAAGCCCCCGGCUCAACCGGGGAGGGUCAUUGGAAACUGGAAACUUGAGUGCAGAAGAGGAGAGUGGAAUUCCACGUGUAGCGGUGAAAAGCGUAGAGAUGUGGAGGAACACCAGUGGCGAAGGCGACUCUCUGGUCUGUAACUGACGCUGAGGAGCGAAAGCGUGGGGAGCGAACAGGAUUAGAUACCCCGGUAGUCCCUGUCUCUUAUACA